CGUAGGGUGCAAGCGUUAAUCGGAAUUACUGGGCGUAAAGCGUGCGCAGGCGGCUUUGCAAGACAGAUGUGAAAUCCCCGGGCUUAACCUGGGAACUGCAUUUGUGACUGCAUGGCUGGAGUGCGGCAGAGGGGGAUGGAAUUCCGCGUGUAGCAGUGAAAUGCGUAGAUAUGCGGAGGAACACCGAUGGCGAAGGCAAUCCCCUGGGCCUGCACUGACGCUCAUGCACGAAAGCGUGGGGAGCAAACAGGGUUAGAUACCCUGGUAGUCCACGCCCUAAACGAUGUCAACUGGUUGUUGGACGGCUUGCUGUUCAGUAACGAAGCUAACGCGUGAAGUUGACCGCCUGGGGAGUACGGCCGCAAGGUUG
Molecule: ribosomal RNA, 370 nt
Filed under: uncultured organism
Description: bacterial SSU rRNA
Rfam family: Bacterial small subunit ribosomal RNA
Source: RNAcentral